Molecule: long non-coding RNA, 765 nt
Filed under: Capra hircus (goat)
Lineage: Eukaryota; Metazoa; Chordata; Mammalia; Artiodactyla; Bovidae
Description: lncRNA (ENSCHIG00000002458.1)
Source: RNAcentral
GUUUGCAGUAAAGAAGGGGACCUGGUGCAAGAGCUACAAUUUAACCAGAACCAUUCAUUAACCAGGAUCGUUCAUUAACAGGGCAGACUCAGUAGUAGUUUUCAGCUCUCAUAAUUAAACUAAAUUAACUUGAGAAUUCCUUUGCCUAAAUUUGAUCUGACUCCUGUGGGCCUCUGACUCCUGUAAGGCAGGCAGGAACAGCAACUUAAUAAGGUGACCCGGCGGGUGUGAGCCGGCGGCAGGAAGGGACCAGACUCAGCUCUGCCCCAGCAGCCCGCCGGGCUUCGCUCACUGUCUGCUCCCCACGCCGAGGUCCUUUGGAGUCUCCGUGGAGGUUAUUAUGAGGGCUUCCCCUGUGGCUCAGUGGUAAAGACUCUGCCUGAAAUGCAGGAGAUGCAGGCUCAACACCUGUGUCAGGAAGAUCCCCUGGAGAAGCGAAUGGUAACCCACUCCAGUAUUCUUGCCUGGAGAAUUCCACGGAUGGAGGAGCCUGGUGGGCUAUAUUCCAUGGGGUUGCAAAGAGUCGGAUAUGACUGAGGUGGCUGAACGCUCACAGGUUACUCACAACACCUAACACGAUGUGGAUGCUGUGUAAAUAAUUGCUGCCACAUGGAAAAUUCCAGUUUUGUUUCUGGAACUUUCUGGAAUCCUUUUUCUGAAUAGCUUCCAUCCGCGGUUGAUUGAACCCGUAGAUACAGAGGGCCCGCUGUAAACUAUAUCGUUAUAAACUUGCUAUAAGUAAGUUAUAAAUUUGUUAAAAACAAG